AAUGCUCUACAGGACAGGUAAGAUCACCCCAACCCACACCCACCACGGUCCACAGCAAACAGACAGGUGAGACGCUCGGGCCAGGACGGCAGUGACCGCUCCAUCAGGACGACGGGACAAGGACAGCCUCGCCAGAAACACACAAUAAUGGGACCAGACUACGGCACAAUCCUGGCCUCGCUGCUCUUGACCACUCAGCUGGAAGGAAGAGCUGCCAACGCUCUACAGGACAGGAAGGCACGGACCGCUCCAUCAGGAUGACGGGAGACGGACGGACGUGCCAGACUCAGACAGCGAUGGGACCAGACCACGGAUCACUCCUGGCCUCUCUCCCCUUGAGAACUCAGCUGGCAGGAAGAACUGCCAACGCUCUACAGGACAGAUAAGACAGCCCCAACCCAUUCCCCGCCAUCGUCUCACACCAUACCAGAAGACGACACGGUUGGGUUAUGAUGGGCAUCUCCUGGCCGCCAGGGAGACCCCAGAGCAGAGCAAGCCACUGAAGGAGAAGAAAGCACACAAGGACCCCGUCUCUACCCUGCCAUGGGAUUGUGAAGAGAUCUUGGACUGCAUUUGCAGUAGUCUGAAUCUGGUUUGA
Molecule: long non-coding RNA, 598 nt
Filed under: Anser cygnoides (Swan goose)
Lineage: Eukaryota; Metazoa; Chordata; Aves; Anseriformes; Anatidae
Description: lncRNA (ENSACDG00005016042.1)
Source: RNAcentral